GUACUGCUGAAGAGUCCCAAGCUAGGACGAAAUAGCUGUCCAGUAC
This 46-nucleotide non-coding RNA is filed under the name Trichobilharzia regenti. Lineage: Eukaryota; Metazoa; Platyhelminthes; Trematoda; Strigeidida; Schistosomatidae. The record is from RNAcentral.